UGUUAAAAAUUUCAUUUAUUUCUAAUGUUAAAACUUGGUGUGGUUGAUGGAAUAAUCGAACAUGUGUAUUUUAUGUUGACAUAUAUGAUUCAAUUUUUAAUAAUAGAAAUUUGAUGAAAUUUUUAACG
Non-coding RNA from Gossypium raimondii (Peruvian cotton), 128 nucleotides. NCBI's taxonomy places the organism in Eukaryota, Viridiplantae, Streptophyta, Magnoliopsida, Malvales, Malvaceae. The record is from Rfam.